RNAcentral lists this ribosomal RNA (485 nucleotides) under uncultured bacterium. RNAcentral describes it as "bacterial SSU rRNA". It matches the Rfam family "Bacterial small subunit ribosomal RNA", at positions 18 to 518 of the family's 1533-position model. The record is from RNAcentral.
UAUGGCUCAGGACGAACGCUGGCGGCGUGCUUAACACAUGCAAGUCGAGCGAUGAAGCUCUUCGGAAGUGGAUUAGCGGCGGACGGGUGAGUAACACGUGGGUAACCUGCCUCAUAGAGGGGAAUAGCCUUCCGAAAGGAAGAUUAAUACCGCAUAAGAUUGUAAUAUCGCAUGAUAUAGCAAUUAAAGGAGUAAUCCGCUAUGAGAUGGACCCGCGUCGCAUUAGCUAGUUGGUGAGGUAACGGCGGUCACCAAGGCGACGAUGCGUAGCCGACCUGAGAGGGUGAUCGGCCACAUUGGGACUGAGACACGGCCCAGACUCCUACGGGAGGCAGCAGUGGGGAAUAUUGCACAAUGGGGGAAACCCUGAUGCAGCCAACGCCGCGUGAGUGAUGACGGUCUUCGGAUUGUAAAGCUCUGUCUUCAGGGACGAUAAUGACGGUACCUGAGGAGGAAGCCACGGCUAACUACGUGCCAGCAGCCGC